GACGAACGCUGGCGGCGUGCUUAACACAUGCCAGUCGAACGGAAAGGCCCUGCUUUUGUGGGGUGCUCGAGUGGCGAACGGGGGAGUAACACGUGAGUAACCUGCCCUUGACUUUGGGAGAACUUCUGGAAACUGGGGCUAAUACCGGAUAGGAGCUCCUGCUGCAUGGUGGGGGUUGGAAAGUUUCGGCGGUUGGGGAUGGACUCGCGGCUUAUCAGCUUGUUGGUGGGGUAGUGGCUUACCAAGGCUUUGACGGGUAGCCGGCCUGAGAGGGUGAACGGCCACAUUGGGACUGCGAUACGGCCCAGCCUGCUACGGGCGGCAGCAGUGGGGAGUAUUGCACAAUGGGGGGAAGCCUGAUGCAGCAACGCCGCGUGCGGGAUGACGGCCUUCGGGUUGUAAACCGCUUUCGCCUGUGACGAAGCGUGAGUGACGGUAAUGGGUAAAGAAGCACCGGCUAACUACGUG
RNAcentral lists this ribosomal RNA (468 nucleotides) under uncultured bacterium. Its description in RNAcentral is "partial 16S ribosomal RNA". It matches the Rfam family "Bacterial small subunit ribosomal RNA", at positions 28 to 507 of the family's 1533-position model. The record is from RNAcentral.